GGAGGAAAAGAAACCAACAGGGAUUGCUUUAGUAACGGCGAGUGAAGCGGCAAAGCUCAAAUUUGAAAUCUGGCACUUGUGUCCGAGUUGUAAUUUGAAGAAGGUAACUUUGGGAUUGGUCCUUGCAUAUGUUCCUUGGAACAGGACGUCAUAGAGGGUGAGAAUCCCGUUCUGUGAGGUGGCCAGUCUCUUGUAAAGUGCUUUCGAAGAGUCGAGUUGUUUGGGAAUGCAGCUCUAAGUGGGUGGUAAAUUCCAUCUAAAGCUAAAUAUUGGCGAGAGACCGAUAGCGAACAAGUACAGUGAUGGAAAGAUGAAAAGAACUUUGAAAAGAGAGUGAAAAAGUACGUGAAAUUGUUGAAAGGGAAGGGCUUGAAAUCAGACUUGGUAUUCAGUGAUCAACUAUCUUUCGGGAUUGUGCACUCGCUGUUUACUGGGCCAGUAUCGGUUUUGACGGUGAGAUAAUGGCAUUGGAAUGUGGCUCCUCGGAGUGUUAUAGCCUUUGUUGAUAUCACCAGUCGGGACCGAGGACCGCGCUUUUAGCUAGGAUACUGGCGUAAUGAUUUUAAGCCACCCGUCUU
This 578-nucleotide ribosomal RNA is filed under the name Sugiyamaella bahiana. RNAcentral describes it as "eukaryotic LSU rRNA". It matches the Rfam family "Eukaryotic large subunit ribosomal RNA", at positions 52 to 655 of the family's 3401-position model. The record is from RNAcentral. Lineage: Eukaryota; Fungi; Ascomycota; Dipodascomycetes; Dipodascales; Trichomonascaceae.